CCUACGGGGAGCAGCAGUGGGGAAUAUUGCACAAUGGGGGAAACCCUGAUGCAGCGAUGCCGCGUGAGUGAAGAAGUAUUUCGGUACGUAAAGCUCUAUCAGCCGGGAAGAAAAUGACGGUACCUGACCAAGAAGCGCCGGCUAACUACGUGCCAGCAGCCGUGUUACUACGUAGGGGGCAAGCGUUAUCCGGAUUUACUGGGUGUAAAGGGAGCGUCGACGGCAGCGCAAGUCUGGAGUGAAAUGCCGGGGCCCAACCCCGGAACUGCUUUGGAAACUGUGCAGCUGGAGUGCAGGUGAGGUAAGCGGAAUUUCGAGUGUAGCGGUGAAAUGCGUAGAUAUUAGGAGGAACACCAGUGGCGAAGGCGGCUUACGGGACUGUAACUGACGUUGAGGCUCGAAAGCGUGGGGAUCAAACAGGAUUAGAUACCCCUGUAGUC
This 440-nucleotide ribosomal RNA is filed under the name uncultured bacterium. RNAcentral's name for it is "partial 16S ribosomal RNA". It matches the Rfam family "Bacterial small subunit ribosomal RNA", at positions 338 to 795 of the family's 1533-position model. The record is from RNAcentral.